Molecule: long non-coding RNA, 337 nt
Filed under: Homo sapiens (human)
Lineage: Eukaryota; Metazoa; Chordata; Mammalia; Primates; Hominidae
Description: non-protein coding lnc-DFFA-12:1
Source: RNAcentral
GGCGGUGGCCCUGCUCUAGGGAGGCCGGGUCUCUUCAGGGAAACAGAAGCUGCCCACAGCCAGAAAGCCAGGACCACCCGAACUGGACAGGGAGCAGGGAGGGAGGAGUGGUCGCACGGAGCGUACCUGAUUCAACAGGAAAUCAGUUAUUUUCUAAAACAGCCCCUACCAGAGCCUCCUGAACUCUGUGGGCACCACGUGCUGCUGUGAGCAUCUGCCCAGACAGUGACCCGCCACAGGCCCCGGGCGUCUGUGGAAGGAGUUUUGUAAAGGAAAAAAAAACACACACACACAAACAUUUUUUCAAUGUAGCAAAAUCAAACUUAAAAAAAAAAAA